UUCGGAGGCACCUGCACAGGUGCUGCAUGGCUGUCGUCAGCUCGUGUCGUGAGAUGUUGGGUUAAGUCCCGCAACGAGCGCAACCCUUAUCCCCAGUUGCCAUCAGGUAAAGCUGGGAACUCUGGGGGAGACUGCCGGUGAUAAACCGGAGGAAGGCGGGGAUGACGUCAAGUCCUCAUGGCCCUUACAUCCCGGGCUACACACGUGCUACAAUGGCAGGUACAGAGGGCUGCGAAGCCGCGAGGUGGAGCGAAUCCCAGAAAACCUGUCUCAGUCCGGAUUGAAGUCUGCAACUCGACUUCAUGAAGGCGGAAUCGCUAGUAACCGCGAAUCAGCAGGUCGCGGUGAAUACGUUCCCGGGCCUU
This 365-nucleotide ribosomal RNA is filed under the name uncultured Latescibacterota bacterium. Its description in RNAcentral is "bacterial SSU rRNA". It matches the Rfam family "Bacterial small subunit ribosomal RNA", at positions 1019 to 1382 of the family's 1533-position model. The record is from RNAcentral. Lineage: Bacteria; Pseudomonadati; Candidatus Latescibacterota.